CCUACGGGGGGCAGCAGUGAGGAAUAUUGGUCAAUGGCCGCAGGGCUGAACCAGCCAAGUCGCGUGAGGGAUGACGGUCCUAUGGAUUGUAAACCUCUUUUGUCAGGGAGCAAAGGGCGCCACGUGUGGCGUUUUGCGAGUACCUGAAGAAAAAGCAUCGGCUAACUCCGUGCCAGCAGCCGCGGUAAUACGGAGGAUGCGAGCGUUAUCCGGAUUUAUUGGGUUUAAAGGGUGCGCAGGCGGAAUGUCAAGUCAGCGGUAAAAUUUCGGGGCUCAACCCCGUCGUGCCGUUGAAACUGGCGUUCUUGAGUGAGCGAGAAGUAUGCGGAAUGCGUGGUGUAGCGGUGAAAUGCAUAGAUAUCACGCAGAACUCCGAUUGCGAAGGCAGCAUACCGGCGCUCAACUGACGCUCAUGCACGAAAGCGUGGGUAUCGAACAG
RNAcentral lists this ribosomal RNA (439 nucleotides) under uncultured bacterium. RNAcentral's name for it is "bacterial SSU rRNA". It matches the Rfam family "Bacterial small subunit ribosomal RNA", at positions 338 to 775 of the family's 1533-position model. The record is from RNAcentral.